RNAcentral lists this ribosomal RNA (524 nucleotides) under Semiathe sp. ARC1338. Its description in RNAcentral is "partial 16S ribosomal RNA". It matches the Rfam family "Bacterial large subunit ribosomal RNA", at positions 1848 to 2632 of the family's 2925-position model. The record is from RNAcentral. Lineage: Eukaryota; Metazoa; Arthropoda; Insecta; Coleoptera; Curculionidae.
UUAAGUCUAACCUGCUCAAUGAUUAUUUUUAAAUAGCUGCGGUAUUUUGACCGUACAAAGGUAGCAUAAUCAUUAGUUUUUUAAUUGAAAGCUAGAAUGAAGGGUUGAAUGAAAAAAUUUCUGUCUCUAUAAAAAUUUAGAAGAAAUUUAUUUUUAAGUAAAAAAGCUUAAAUAAUUUUUGAAGACGAGAAGACCCUAUAGAGUUUAAUAUUUAAAAGUAAAAAAUUUAUUUUAGCAUCAUUAAUUUUUAUUGUAAAAUUAUUUUAUUGGGGUGAUUUAAAAAUUUAUAAAACUUUUUUUUUAUAAAAUCAUUGAUUUAUGAAAAAUUGAUCCUUAAAUUAAGAUUAAAAGAUAAAAUUACCUUAGGGAUAACAGCGUAAUUUUUUAAAAAGUUCUUAUUGAAAAAGAAGAUUGCGACCUCGAUGUUGGAUUAAAAUAAAUUAUUGGUGGAGAAGCUGAAUAAUUAGGUCUGUUCGACCUGUUGAUUUUACAUGAUCUGAGUUUAAACCGGUGUGAGCCAGGUC